Molecule: ribosomal RNA, 253 nt
Filed under: uncultured bacterium
Lineage: Bacteria
Description: partial 16S ribosomal RNA
Rfam family: Bacterial small subunit ribosomal RNA
Source: RNAcentral
UACGUAGGGGGCAAGCGUUGUCCGGAUUUAUUGGGCGUAAAGAGCGUGUAGGCGGCCUGGAAGGUCAGCUGUGAAAACUCGAGGCUCAACCUCGAGACGUCGGUUGAAACCACCUGGCUAGAGUCCGGAAGAGGAGAGUGGAAUUCCCGGUGUAGCGGUGAAAUGCGCAGAUAUCGGGAAGAACACCCGUGGCGAAGGCGGCUCUCUGGGACGGUACUGACGCUGAGACGCGAAAGCGUGAGGAGCGAACAGG